GGGAGUGCUUCGUGCUUCUGGUUGAAGAGAAAAUGACCAUAGCACAGAAGCACUCCCA
RNAcentral lists this microRNA precursor (58 nucleotides) under Mus musculus (house mouse). Its description in RNAcentral is "Mmu-Mir-3060_pre stem-loop". Lineage: Eukaryota; Metazoa; Chordata; Mammalia; Rodentia; Muridae. The record is from RNAcentral.